RNAcentral lists this long non-coding RNA (1547 nucleotides) under Bos indicus x Bos taurus (hybrid cattle). RNAcentral's name for it is "lncRNA (ENSBIXG00005014573.1)". Lineage: Eukaryota; Metazoa; Chordata; Mammalia; Artiodactyla; Bovidae. The record is from RNAcentral.
CCGCUGCCAGCCAGCCCCGGUCCUCCGAGGGUCACCUGCACAGGCUCCGCCCGGCACCGCGCGCCGCAGCCGCUGGCACUCGGGCCUGGCCGACGGCGGGGAUGCUGUGAGCUGCGGGGCCGGGGUCGGGGCACUAGGCCCCGCGGAAGUGAGUCUUUGUGCGGCCCCGCUGCGACACACCCUACCGCGGCGCCGAAGGCCGGGCUACCUGCGCGCGAGGCAGCGCCCGGGAGCGGGCCGGGUGGGGUGCAGGGGAGCGAGCGCAGCAUCCUCCCGGCCCGCAGGCUCCCUUUGUUCCGCCCGCUCGGCCGGCCCCAGGCCGCCGCCCGGCCCUCGCUCCCGGAAACUCCUCGGAGGCGCAGGGGUCGGGGUUGUAGCGGGAGUGGCCACCUGCCCCUGGGAAUUCCCUAAUGCACCCUCUGCCCGGCCAUCCCCGCCGGGCGGGCAAAGUUCUCCGGACCGCGGCCCCCAGGCUGCUGGCCCGGCGCGCGGAGAACAGGCGCUGGAGCCGGGGGUGGGGCGGCAGAUCGGAUGUCCCUCUGCCAGCGUGCGGAAUGUCCAUUUGUCGCCGCGGCCCUCGUCCCUUCUGAGGGGACCGCAGCUGGUCCCUGGGACCAAGACCACGACGCGCUUUGUUUGCUGAUGGGGAGAAAAAGAUCUUUCUUUUCAUCAGAUGUGGGCUUCCCUAGUGGCUCAGAUGUAAAGAAUCCACCUGCAAUGCAGAAGACCUGGAUUCAAUCCCUGGGUUGGAAAGAUCCCUUGGAGAAGGGAAUGGCAACCCACUCCAGUAUUCUUGCUUGGAGAAUCCCAUGGGCAGAGGAGCCUGGCAGACUACAGCCUAUGGCGUCAUAAAGAGUCAGACACAACUAAGUGACCAACACUUCACUUCAGUAGAUAAGAAGCCUGUACCGGAAGACACUGAGGCAUGACUAUCUCUUGCCGCCAUCUAGCUUGCAUCUCCCUAUCCUGGAACUCCAACUGGAAAUGGAGCAGCCUCGGGCAGGGUCAGGGGGUCACAGCCACACCUGCAGAACUGACCUAGGUGAAAACAAGUCAGGCUGUGAAAGAAGUUUCCCUUUGGCAAACUUUUCCGUGUAAUCCACGACCUAAAUUUAAAAGGACAGGACUCAGAGCCCAGGGUUUGAGUCCCCUGCAUCGUAUAGCAAAUUCCCACUGGCCGUCUAUUUUACACGUGGUAACGUAUAUGUUUCUAGGCUAUUCUUUCUAUUCACUCCACCCUCUCCUUCCUUUCUCCCGCAACCCCAUGUCCACAAGUCUGUUCUCUGUGUCUGCCUCUCCUUACAGAUGGGUUCGUCAGUACUAUCUUUCUGGAUUCCACAUAUAUGCAUUUAUAUACGAUAUUUGCUUUUUUCGUUCUGUCUUACUUCACUGUGUGUAACAGGCUCUAGGUUCAUCCACUGUGUUAGAACUAACUCAGAAGUGACAACUUAGAGUGGGAUGGGGUGGGGGGUGGGAGGUGGAGGGAGGUUCAGGAGGGAGGGGACAUAUGUGUACCUAUGGCUUAUUCAUGCUGAUGUAUGGCAGAA